UUGGAGGGCAAGUCUGGUGCCAGCAGCCGCGGUAAUUCCAGCUCCAAUAGCGUAUAUUAAAGUUGUUGCAGUUAAAAAGCUCGUAGUUGAAUUUCGGGAUUGACACAUCGGUCGUGCCUUAAGGGGUAUGAACUGGUGUAGUCAGUUUCUCACCUUCUGGAGAACCGCGAUGUCCUUAAUUGGGUGCCGCGGGGAACCAGGACCUUUACUUUGAAAAAAUUAGAGUGUUUAAAGCAGGCAUUUUGCUUGAAUACAUUAGCAUGGAAUAAUAAAAUAGGACGGAUGGUUCUAUUUUGUUGGUUUCUAGGAUCACCGUAAUGAUUAAUAGGGAUAGUUGGGGGCAUUAGUAUUCAAUUGUCAGAGGUGAAAUUCUUGGAUUUAUUGAAGACUAACUACUGCGAAAGCAUUUGCCAAGGAUGUUUUCAUUAAUCAAGAACGAAAGUUAGGGGAUCGAAGACGAUCAGAUACCGUCGUAGUCUUAACCAUAAACUAUGCCGACUAGGAAUCAGACGAUGUUAAUUUUUUAAUGACUCGUUCGGCACCUUACGGGAAAC
RNAcentral lists this ribosomal RNA (554 nucleotides) under uncultured Glomus. RNAcentral's name for it is "SSU rRNA". It matches the Rfam family "Eukaryotic small subunit ribosomal RNA", at positions 548 to 1098 of the family's 1831-position model. The record is from RNAcentral. Lineage: Eukaryota; Fungi; Glomeromycota; Glomeromycetes; Glomerales; Glomeraceae.